Molecule: ribosomal RNA, 84 nt
Filed under: Desulfosporosinus sp. BRH_c37
Lineage: Bacteria; Bacillati; Bacillota; Clostridia; Eubacteriales; Desulfitobacteriaceae
Description: partial 23S ribosomal RNA
Source: RNAcentral
AUCAGGUUGAUAGGCCAGGUGUGGAAGCGCGGUGACGUGUGGAGCUGACUGGUACUAAUCGGUCGAGGGCUUGACCUAAACAUU